RNAcentral lists this ribosomal RNA (320 nucleotides) under uncultured Cercozoa. RNAcentral describes it as "bacterial SSU rRNA". The stretch from base 111 to 320 matches the Rfam family "Eukaryotic small subunit ribosomal RNA", at positions 745 to 955 of the family's 1831-position model. Lineage: Eukaryota; Cercozoa. The record is from RNAcentral.
GAUUUCUGGUCGGAUGCGCCUGGCCCGCCACGUCUUCGUGUGUGAGUGCCGGCUGUGCGUCUACCAUCCGUCUCGCCGCGCGUCGGCCCUUCACGGGGCCGCGUCAGGCGAGAUCCUUUACUUUGAAAAAAUUAGAGUGUUUCAAGCAGGCAUGUUGCUAUGAAUACAUUAGCAUGGAAUAAUAACUUAGGACUUCGGUUCUAUUUUGUUGGUUUCUAGGACUGCAGUAAUGAUUGAUAGGGAUAGUUGGGGGUGCUAGUAUUCAGUGGCCAGAGGUGAAAUUCUCGGAUUCCCUGAAGACUAACUUAUGCGAAAGCAUU